Molecule: non-coding RNA, 96 nt
Filed under: Mesorhizobium escarrei
Lineage: Bacteria; Pseudomonadati; Pseudomonadota; Alphaproteobacteria; Hyphomicrobiales; Phyllobacteriaceae
Also listed under: 1 other name
Source: RNAcentral
UGAGGGAACCGCAAGGUGACCUGACCGUGAUGCAGGAGUCAGCAGAGGGCGUAGUAGGUGAUGCUGUCGGCAAGGCUAGUGAGGCACUCCAAGGCC